GUGAAGCGGCCAGACCACCAGCUAAUGGAUGCGGAGCGGAGGGCCCGCUGACCGCUCUCCGCGCCUGGAGCAGCUUGGCUUGGCUGGAGCUAAGAGCCAGACACACCACUGUGUGGAGGUGGGUGAUGUCUUCCUGUGCUAAAAGGGGUCCAAGCCGCCCUGCUGGGAGGCUUCUCUUCAAGAGUUCUGGGUGCCAGAGUGGAAGGCAUUUUCCCAUCAACUGGAGAGAGACGAAACAUCAGAGACCAGGAGGCUGUGGAGAAAGCAGCUGUCCCAGGUGCCUCAACUAUCAGAGGAGGGUCAGCGUCACGUGGCUGCCAGCAUCUUUGAGAAAAUCACUGGCAAUCGGACUUCAGAGCUGCGGGCACAGGUGUGGUUAGAACUGAGAUACGACCUGCCCACCUGGGUCAGGCCUAAAGACAAGAAGUCCUGAGUUCUUGCCACUGAGUAGGCCAGGGUCAUUUGUCCAGAAAACUUUGUGACUGUCUUUGAGUGACCUAGUCUGGGACCCAUUCAUUGGUGGGUUCUAAGGUUAGAAGCUCAUCCAGGAUAUUUUCAAUAUUAAGUCAGUGCAUA
RNAcentral lists this small RNA (576 nucleotides) under Pan troglodytes (chimpanzee). Its description in RNAcentral is "processed transcript". Lineage: Eukaryota; Metazoa; Chordata; Mammalia; Primates; Hominidae. The record is from RNAcentral.